RNAcentral lists this ribosomal RNA (468 nucleotides) under uncultured bacterium. Its description in RNAcentral is "partial 16S ribosomal RNA". It matches the Rfam family "Bacterial small subunit ribosomal RNA", at positions 28 to 507 of the family's 1533-position model. The record is from RNAcentral.
GACGAACGCUGGCGGCGUGCUUAACACAUGCAAGUCGAACGGAAAGGCCCUGCUUUUGUUGGGUGCUCGAUUGGCGAACGCGUGUGUAACACGUGAGUAACCUGCCCUUGACUUUGUGAUAACUUCAGGAAACUCGGGCUAAUACCCGAUAUGAUCUCCUGCUGCAUGUUGGGGGUUGGAAAGUUGCGGCGGUUGUGGAUGGUCUCGCGGCUUAUCAGCUUGUUGGUGUGGUAGUGGCUUACGAAGGCUUUGACGGGUAGCCGGCAUGGGAGGGUGACCGGCGACAAGGCGACUGAGGGAGGGACCAGAAGGGUAAGGGAGGCAGUAGGGGGGAAUAUUGCAGAAUAGGCGGAAGCGUGAUGCAGCAACGUCGCGAGCGGGAUGAUGGGCUUCGGGUGGUAAACAGAUGUGGAAUGUGACGAAGAGUGAGUGACGGUAAUGGGUAAAGAAGCACCGGCUAACUACGUG